RNAcentral lists this ribosomal RNA (621 nucleotides) under uncultured Burkholderia sp. RNAcentral's name for it is "bacterial SSU rRNA". It matches the Rfam family "Bacterial small subunit ribosomal RNA", at positions 67 to 683 of the family's 1533-position model. Lineage: Bacteria; Pseudomonadati; Pseudomonadota; Betaproteobacteria; Burkholderiales; Burkholderiaceae. The record is from RNAcentral.
CGGCAGCACGGGGGUAACCCUGGUGGCGAGUGGCGAACGGGUGAGUAAUACAUCGGAACGUGUCCUGUAGUGGGGGAUAGCCCGGCGAAAGCCGGAUUAAUACCGCAUACGAUCUACGGAAGAAAGCGGGGGAUCGAAAGACCUCGCGCUAUAGGGGCGGCCGAUGGCAGAUUAGCUAGUUGGUGGGGUAAAGGCCUACCAAGGCGACGAUCUGUAGCUGGUCUGAGAGGACGACCAGCCACACUGGGACUGAGACACGGCCCAGACUCCUACGGGAGGCAGCAGUGGGGAAUUUUGGACAAUGGGGGAAACCCUGAUCCAGCAAUGCCGCGUGUGUGAAGAAGGCCUUCGGGUUGUAAAGCACUUUUGUCCGGAAAGAAAACUUCUGCCCUAAUACGGUGGGAGGAUGACGGUACCGGAAGAAUAAGCACCGGCUAACUACGUGCCAGCAGCCGCGGUAAUACGUAGGGUGCCAGCGUUAAUCGGAAUUACUGGGCGUAAAGCGUGCGCAGGCGGUUCGUUAAGACAGAUGUGAAAUCCCCGGGCUUAACCUGGGAACUGCAUUUGUGACUGGCGAGCUAGAGUAUGGCAGAGGGGGGUAGAAUUCCACGUGUAGCAGUG